CAGCCGCCGCGGGAAAACGGAGGGUGCAAGCGUUAAUCGGAAUUACUGGGCGUAAAGCGCACGCAGGCGGUCUGUCAAGUCAGAUGUGAAAUCCCCGGGCUUAACCUGGGAACUGCAUUUGAAACUGGCAGGCUAGAGUCUUGUAGAGGGGGGUAGAAUUCCAGGUGUAGCGGUGAAAUGCGUAGAGAUCUGGAGGAAUACCGGUGGCGAAGGCGGCCCCCUGGACAAAGACUGACGCUCAGGUGCGAAAGCGUGGGGAGCAAACAGGAUUAGAUACCCGCGUAGUCCCUGUCUCUUAUAA
This 301-nucleotide ribosomal RNA is filed under the name uncultured bacterium. RNAcentral's name for it is "partial 16S ribosomal RNA". It matches the Rfam family "Bacterial small subunit ribosomal RNA", at positions 509 to 809 of the family's 1533-position model. The record is from RNAcentral.